GAUGAACGCUGGCGGCGUGCCUAAUACAUGCAAGUCGAGCGAACGGACGAGAAGCUUGCUUCUCUGAUGUUAGCGGCGGACGGGUGAGUAACACGUGGAUAACCUACCUAUAAGACUGGGAUAACCUCGGGAAACCGGAGCUAAUACCGGAUAAUAUUUUGAACCGCAUGGUUCAAAAGUGAAAGACGGUCUUGCUGUCACUUAUAGAUGGAUCCGCGCUGCAUUAGCUAGUUGGUAAGGUAACGGCUUACCAAGGCAACGAUGCAUAGCCGACCUGAGAGGGUGAUCGGCCACACUGGAACUGAGACACGGUCCAGACUCCUACGGGAGGCAGCAGUAGGGAAUCUUCCGCAAUGGGCGAAAGCCUGACGGAGCAACGCCGCGUGAGUGAUGAAGGUCUUCGGAUCGUAAAACUCUGUUAUUAGGGAAGAACAUAUGUGUAAGUAACUGUGCACAUCUUGACGGUACCUAAUCAGAAAGCCACGGCUAACUACGUA
Molecule: ribosomal RNA, 497 nt
Filed under: uncultured bacterium
Lineage: Bacteria
Description: partial 16S ribosomal RNA
Rfam family: Bacterial small subunit ribosomal RNA
Source: RNAcentral